Molecule: RNA transcript, 1624 nt
Organism: Salvia miltiorrhiza (redroot sage)
Lineage: Eukaryota; Viridiplantae; Streptophyta; Magnoliopsida; Lamiales; Lamiaceae
Exons: 7
Source: RefSeq, a predicted model, not a curated record
UUCAUUCCCAACACUUCUUCUCCCAAAAAAAGUCAGAUUUCAUUCCCCCAAAACACACGCUGCUCCCAAAAUCAAAUUCCGCCACCAAACUUGAAUAUUCACAACAGCUCUCCGGCGACAGCACCACCGUCUUCCUGCCACCGAACUCAAACGCCACCAUGGGGAUACUCGCCUCCGACAGCGAGGACAAGUCGUUGCACUCCCCACGCCAGUUCCUGAAUGCGUCCCGCACCGCCACUCCCAUCGGUGGUCGUCGAUUCGAAGAUACAACAACAAUCGCCAACCUCCACCUGAAAUCCGACGCACACGUCCCGCCAUCCCUGUCCCCGGCCUCUGAAAUUAAUCCGAUUCAGCCUCCAGGGUUCAAAGUACUUGCUUACAGGAGGGAGGGAAGCCGGAAAGGAUCAUUCAUCUUGCCAUGCUAUUAUGUGUGCGUUGAUGGAACAAGUUAUAAUAUCUGAAAUUCUGAAAUUUCCCCCUCAUUUGAUUUGCUUGAAGUUGUGUGUAGGUUUAGAUUGUUGAAGUUGUGCUGUUUACGAAUGUGUUUAAAUGGAGAUUUUGUUAUGAUGUCAUUGAUCAUGCUAUUUCAUGUUAACAAUUACUGGAUCCGCGACUAGUCUGACUAUCCCUAUUUGUUGUUUCACUCGGUUUUUUACUUCUGAUAUUGAUGAAAACAAGAAAAAAUGGAUAUCUUUGAAUUGAGUGAAGGUUAGUGAUGGCACAUUGUUUCCUUUGGUGAGAAAGUAGUUCUAGAGAAAAUUCUUGUUCAGGGAAAUAGAACAUUAUGAUUAGGCAUCCAAGAAAAAAGAUUAUUUGGAGUAUUCCUAGCAACCAGAUCAAUACCCUCUGAACCUUGCAUCUUCCUCAUAGUUUUUUCAAGACAAUUAGGAAACAAGUGCACUUCCUCAAUUUUACAACACAAUGCUUUCAGUAGCAGAGCAUGCUACUUUCUACAAUAUAUUUGUAACAAAUCAAAUCUCACUUUGCAUGACAAGACUUAACUAUGAUGGAUAUGCUCAUAUGCAGAUUCAUUUCAGGGAUGUAGAGAUAUCUGCCCAUGUUUGUUUCUGUUUGGUCUUAUGAAAGGAAAAUCCCGAUCUGUGGAAAUGGCUGACCAGCCAAGAGGAACCCCCUGAGGCAGUGAAAGUAAAUCCAGUAUUCGUGGCUGUGUGGCAAAAGGAACUUGAAGAACAAUCAGCUUACUGGUCCAAUUCCUUCGACAUUAACGCAAAUUCCUAAUCUAAAAACUCUGGAUUAAGCGUUUCGCUAGCUAGCCCUGAUGGUCGCGUAAUAGGUGGUGGCGUUGCAGGUUUGCUCAUGGCAGCUAGUCCGAUCCAGAUUGUAGUCGGAAGCUUCGUGCCAAACGGUUUCAAGAUGCAGAAGCGAAAGCAGCAGAGCAAGCCAAGAAUGGCCCCUGCAGCCCACUGCCCUCCGGCCACUGUGACUGCCCUCCAGCCACUGCGACUGCCCUCCAGCCACUGCCCUUCAUCAUCAAGAAUGAGCUCCUCCUUGUUUGAUAACUUUGAUCACAUCUUGGGUUUGAUGUAGAAUGUUUGUAUGAUGGAUAUUUUUUCAAUGUAGAAUGAUAAAGAAUAUUUGAAAUUAAUGAAUGACAUUUUUAUUA